GAUGAACGCUGGCGGCGUGCCUAAUACAUGCAAGUCGAGCGAACGGACGAGAAGCUUGCUUCUCUGAUGUUAGCGGCGGACGGGUGAGUAACACGUGGAUAACCUACCUAUAAGACUGGGAUAACUUCGGGAAACCGGAGCUAAUACCGGAUGAUAUUUUGAACCGCAUGGUUCAAAAGUGAAAGACGGUCUUGCUGUCACUUAUAGAUGGAUCCGCGCUGCAUUAGCUAGUUGGUAAGGUAAUGGCUUACCAAGGCAACGAUGCAUAGCCGACCUGAGAGGGUGAUCGGCCACACUGGAACUGAGACACGGUCCAGACUCCUACGGGAGGCAGCAGUAGGGAAUCUUCCGCAAUGGGCGAAGGCCUGACGGAGCAACGCCGCGUGAGUGAUGAAGGUCUUCGGAUCGUAAAACUCUGUUAUUAGGGAAGAACAUAUGUGUAAGUAACUGUGCACAUCUUGACGGUACCUAAUCAGAAAGCCACGGCUAACUACGUG
RNAcentral lists this ribosomal RNA (497 nucleotides) under uncultured bacterium. RNAcentral's name for it is "partial 16S ribosomal RNA". It matches the Rfam family "Bacterial small subunit ribosomal RNA", at positions 28 to 507 of the family's 1533-position model. The record is from RNAcentral.